This 254-nucleotide ribosomal RNA is filed under the name uncultured bacterium. Its description in RNAcentral is "partial 16S ribosomal RNA". It matches the Rfam family "Bacterial small subunit ribosomal RNA", at positions 524 to 776 of the family's 1533-position model. The record is from RNAcentral.
UACGUAGGGGGCGAGCGUUGUCCGGAUUUAUUGGGCGUAAAGAGCUCGUAGGCGGCUAAGCAAGUCGGGUGGGAAAUCUCCAGGCUCAACCUGGAGCCUUCGCCCGAUACUGCUUUGGCUUGAGUCCGGUAGGGGAGUGUGGAAUUCCCGGUGUAGCGGUGAAAUGCGCAGAUAUCGGGAGGAACACCGGCGGCGAAGGCGGCACUCUGGGCCGGUACUGACGCUGAGGAGCGAAAGCGUGGGGAGCAAACAGG